AAACACAUAAGCAUCAAACACUCAAAGACAACAUUUCAACAACAACAACAAUUUCAUCAUAGAUUCACGCAAGUCCUAACUCCCUAAUCAUGGAUUCUAUCCCCCAAAAGCUAAAUCCUAUCUAAGAACUAACCUUGGAGAUGAAGAUGGUGAAAUAGAGAUGAGGUUGGUGAUGAUGAUGAGAUGAUGGUGGUGAAUGUUUCCAUGGCUUUUCUCUUCUUCUUCCUUCCUUCCUCUUCUUUUCUUCUUUU
RNAcentral lists this long non-coding RNA (251 nucleotides) under Lathyrus oleraceus (garden pea). RNAcentral's name for it is "Pisum sativum (pea) long non-coding RNA (PSAT_LNC039991)". The record is from RNAcentral. Lineage: Eukaryota; Viridiplantae; Streptophyta; Magnoliopsida; Fabales; Fabaceae.